UACGUAGGGUGCGAGCGUUGUCCGGAAUCAUUGGGUUUAAAGGGUCCGUAGGCGGCCUUAUAAGUCAGUGGUGAAAUCUCCUAGCUCAACUAGGAAACUGCCAUUGAUACUGUAGGGCUUGAAUUAUUAGGAAGUAACUAGAAUAUGUAGUGUAGCGGUGAAAUGCUUAGAGAUUACAUGGAAUACCAAUUGCGAAGGCAGGUUACUACUAAUAUAUUGACGCUGAUGGACGAAAGCGUGGGUAGCGAACAGG
RNAcentral lists this ribosomal RNA (253 nucleotides) under uncultured bacterium. RNAcentral describes it as "partial 16S ribosomal RNA". It matches the Rfam family "Bacterial small subunit ribosomal RNA", at positions 524 to 776 of the family's 1533-position model. The record is from RNAcentral.